Molecule: ribosomal RNA, 497 nt
Filed under: uncultured bacterium
Lineage: Bacteria
Description: partial 16S ribosomal RNA
Rfam family: Bacterial small subunit ribosomal RNA
Source: RNAcentral
GAUGAACGCUGGCGGCGUGCCUAAUACAUGCAAGUCGAGCGAACGGACGAGAAGCUUGCUUCUCUGAUGUUAGCGGCGGGCGGGUGAGUAACACGUGGAUAACCUACCUAUAAGACUGGGAUAACUUCGGGAAACCGGCGCUAAUACCGGAGAAUAUUUUGAACCGCAUGGGUCAAAAGUGAAAGACGGUCUUUCUGUCACUUAUAGAUGGAUCCGCGCUUCAUUGGCUAGUUGGUAAGGUAACGGCUUACCAAGGGAACGAUGCAUAGCCGACCUGAGAGAGGGAUAGGCCACACGGGAACGGAGACAGCGUCCAGACUCCUACGGGAGGGAGCAGUCGGGAAUCUUCCGCAGCGGGCGAAAGCCUGACGCAGCAGCGCCGCGUGAGAUAUGAAGGUCUUCCGAUCGUAAAACUCUGUUAUGAGGGAAGAACAUAUGUGUCAGUAAAUGUGCACAUAGUGACGGUACCUAAUAAGAAAGCCACGGCUAACUACGUG